RNAcentral lists this ribosomal RNA (1306 nucleotides) under uncultured bacterium. RNAcentral describes it as "bacterial SSU rRNA". It matches the Rfam family "Bacterial small subunit ribosomal RNA", at positions 28 to 1381 of the family's 1533-position model. The record is from RNAcentral.
AACGUACGCUGGCGGCACGCCUAACACAUGCAAGUCGAACGAAGUAGCAAUACUUAGUGGCAGACGGGUGAGUAACAUGUAGGUAUCUGCCCUUUGGCCUGGAAUAACACGAGGAAACUUGUGCUAAUACCGGAUAAGUCUUUACGGAGAAAGCUUUAUGCACCAUUGGAUGAGCCUGCACUUGAUUAGUUUGUUGGUGGGGUAAUGGCCUACCAAGACUGUGAUCAAUAGCUGAUUUGAGAGGAUGAUCAGCCACAUUGGGACUGAGACACGGCCCAAACUCCUACGGGAGGCAGCAGUGGGGAAUCUUGCACAAUGGAGGAAACUCUGAUGCAGCGAUGCCGCGUGAGUGAAGAAGGCCCUCGGGUUGUAAAGCUCUUUCGUCGGGGAAGAAAAUGACUGUACCCGAAUAAGAAGGUCCGGCUAACUUCGUGCCAGCAGCCGCGGUAAUACGAAGGGACCUAGCGUAGUUCGGAAUUACUGGGCUUAAAGAGUUCGUAGGUGGUUGAAAAAGUUAGUGGUGAAAUCCCAGAGCUUAACUCUGGAACUGCCAUUAAAACUUUUCAGCUAGAGUAUGAUAGAGGAAAGCAGAAUUUCUAGUGUAGAGGUGAAAUUCGUAGAUAUUAGAAAGAAUACCAAUUGCGAAGGCAGCUUUCUGGAUCAUUACUGACACUGAGGAACGAAAGCAUGGGUAGCGAAGAGGAUUAGAUACCCUCGUAGUCCAUGCCGUAAACGAUGUGUGUUAGACGUUGGAAAUUUAUUUUCAGUGUCGCAGGGAAACCGAUAAACACACCGCCUGGGGAGUACGACCGCAAGGUUAAAACUCAAAUGAAUUGACGGGGACCCGCACAAGUAGUGGAGCAUGUGGUUUAAUUCGAAGAUACGCGCAGAACCUUACCAACACUUGACAUGUUCGUCGCGACUCUAAGAGAUUAGAGUUUUCGGUUCGGCCGGACGAAACACAGGUGCUGCAUGGCUGUCGUCAGCUCGUGUCGUGAGAUGUUGGGUUAAGUCCCGCAACGAGCGCAACCCUCACUUUUAGUUGCCAUCAUUAAGUUGGGCACUCUGAAAGAACUGCCAGUGAUAAGCUGGAGGAAGGUGGGGAUGACGUCAAGUCCUCAUGGCCCUUACGUGUUGGGCUACACACGUGCUACAAUGGUAUCUACAACAGGAAGCAAGACUGCGAAGUUAAGCAAAUCCCUAAAAGAUACCUCAGUUCGGAUUGCACUCUGCAACUCGAGUGCAUGAAGCUGGAAUUACUAGUAAUCGUGGAUCAGCGUGCCACGGUGAAUGCGUUCCCGGGUCU